Molecule: long non-coding RNA, 1035 nt
Organism: Gadus chalcogrammus (walleye pollock)
Lineage: Eukaryota; Metazoa; Chordata; Actinopteri; Gadiformes; Gadidae
Exons: 3
Source: RefSeq, a predicted model, not a curated record
ACCCGGAUAUGUAGCAAGCGCCUAGCCUUUAGCAAUAUAAACGGGGCUCUCCACAGACAAACGGCAGAUUUCUAACAAUCAUAUUUCCAAUCGAUUCAUCAUUUUAUCGCAAGUCUAACACGAAAUACAGAACCGUUUAAGCUUCACAUUGUGUUUCUAGGUUGACGUUGUUUAGGCUCCACGACGUCCGCAGUGGUUAGCUCUCACAGCCACCAUGGGCUAUCGCUAACUAGCCGCCCUGUCACCUUGGCUGUUAUCUCCAGAACUGCUCACGCUCCAGCCUCAACGUCCUUGAGACCAACUGGAAAUAUACGGGUGAGACUGGAGACUGAGGAAACGGACCAAACACAGGAGAUUAGUAGUGGUGGCUCAAAGUGAAGAGGAGAUAUGUCCUCCCUCUUCCAGCCUCUCACAGUCCGCUGCGGACACCUCUCCUCCAUCUCCUCCCACUACCUCUACGUGGGCUCUGGUCACACCGCUGCGUCCUGCACCUCUACCACCACGGAGGAGACAGCUGGAGCAGCCGCUGUCUGCGUUCCAGAAAUCAAUCAUGUCCUCUAUCCAAAAGGAAAAGGAGAAUGCACUGGCUGUUGACGAGGAUGAGCAUUUUAUGCUCAGCCUCGUCCCAUCGUUGAGGAGGCUGUCACACCAAAAAAAGGCCCAGGCGCGCAUGAGGAUGCAGCAGGUCCUGUACGAUGUGGAGUUUGGAGAGUAAUGAAUUUGUAAUCAAUUUCUAUUAAGAUUUAAGAUUUUUUUAAAUGUGUAAAUAAUAUUUUGUAAUAAUUUUCUAUUUAGAUUUAGUUUAAGCUUUAAGAUUUUUUAAAUGUGUACAUAUCUUGGAAUCAUUUUCUAUUUAGAUUUAGUAUGAGCUAUACAAAUUAUUUAAAUGUGUACAUAAUAUCUUGGUAUCUUCAACUCACACUCCGACGGAGCUUUUCUGGCAUUCCUGUGGAGGUUGGGGGCAUUGAGCCGGAGUGGGCGGUGUUCAAAGCCUCCAUUGCUGAAGCUGCGGUGGCUAGCUGUGGCCUCAGGGUC